This 253-nucleotide ribosomal RNA is filed under the name uncultured bacterium. RNAcentral describes it as "partial 16S ribosomal RNA". It matches the Rfam family "Bacterial small subunit ribosomal RNA", at positions 524 to 776 of the family's 1533-position model. The record is from RNAcentral.
UACGUAGGCAGCAAGCGUUGUUCGGAGUUACUGGGCGUAAAGGGUGUGUAGGCGGUUGGAUAAGUGUGGUGUGAAAUCUCCCGGCUUAACUGGGAGGGUGCGCUACAAACUGUCUGACUAGAGUGUGGGAUGGGAAAGUGGAAUUCCUGGUGUAGCGGUGAAAUGCGUAGAGAUCGGGAAGAACAUCAGUGGCGAAGGCGGUCUGCUGGGCCGUUGCUGACGCUGAGGCGCGAUAGCGUGGGGAGCAAACAGG